Molecule: long non-coding RNA, 677 nt
Filed under: Oreochromis niloticus (Nile tilapia)
Lineage: Eukaryota; Metazoa; Chordata; Actinopteri; Cichliformes; Cichlidae
Description: lncRNA (ENSONIG00000026399.2)
Source: RNAcentral
AUGUCUACAAAGCCUUUGUGUAUUUUGGGAGGCGAUGUUAAUGUGGCGAAGGACUACAAGUACCUAGGCAUCCACUUUAACAACAGAUGGAAGUGUAAGAACACUGAAGCUGUGAGGCAGUGGUGUCAAACAUAUGACCCAGACAUCAGAAACAACCCACAAAAAAAGCACCAGAUGGCAAACAGAGAUUUUGUGACCAGUCUGGUAGUCCAUCGGCUAUCAUCUGACGAUUUGGCCUCUGGGGGCAACAGCCAAAAAUCUCUGGAAGGUGAACAUCUUGCAUGCAGCUGUCAGUAUCCAGUGGGACUGAGUGCUGAGGAGAGGAUGCUAGAUAUUUUUGGCAAGGCUUUUCUCAGGAAUCAGAAAGCAAGAAUGGAAGAGCUAAAUAACAAUAUGUCCAUCAGUUCCAGGAGGGGUUUAUGGAACUGUGAAUAUUUGUGAAGUCUCCAUGAUAAUAGUUUGAUUUACCAGGUCAGAGAGCAGAACAUACAGAGAAUUUUGUCUAUAUUACAUUAUCUGCCACUGUUCAUUGCUUCUAUUUCAGGCUUUACAAAGAUAUACAAAUACAUUCUUAACACAUGAGACAUGCUGCCUUUGUCAUGGUUAUAUAUCUAUUAAAUUUUCUAUAAAUCAGACAGAAACAAAGCAAAUACCCCUGCUAAACCAGUGAAAAAAAA